UUAUGUUAGUAAUGGGUGACAAAAACCUUUUUUAGCGCAAUAAACACAGUACUGCAAAGGAAAGAUGAAAUAGAAAUGAAAUAAACCACAAAAAUAUAAAAAAGCAAAGACUUUUACUUUUACCUUUUGCAUAAUGGUCUAGCCAGUCAUAAUAACAAAAAGAAUUUUAGUUUAUACCCCGAAAUUAAGUGAGCUACCCCCGAGCAGCUAUAUGAACGAACUCUUCUCUGUGGCAAAAGAGUGAGAAGACUUAGGGGUAGAGGUGAAAAACCUAACGAACUUAAAAAUAGCUGGUUGUUUGAGAAUGAAUUUAAGUUCAACUAAAAGCACUACAACAAAAUAGAAUGAUAAUGCUUUUAUUAUAAUUAAUUAGGGUACAGCCUGAUUAAUAAAGGAGACAGCCUAUAUACAUGAAUAAGAUAUUUAAAGAGCUCUUUAAUGUGGGCCUGAAAGCAGCCACCAUAUAAUAGCGUCAAAGCUUAAUCUACUAAUACUUAUUAUUUUAAUAAUUUAUUUUAAUUCACCUGAAAUAUCAAACAAAUCUAUAUAUAGAUGAAAUACUGCUAGAAUUAGUAAUAAGGACACUCCUCUAAAUGUGUGUGUAAAUCAAAACGAAUGUAUCAUUGAUAAUUAACAAAUCAUAUAUUACAAGAAUUGAUAUAAUGUUAACCCAACACAGGAACAUUAAAGAAAGACUAAAAAUCUGAAAAGGAACUCGGCAACCCAGAGCUUCGCCUGUUUACCAAAAACAUCGCCUCUUGCUCAAGUUAUAUAAGAGGUACUGCCUGCCCAGUGACAUCUGUUCAACGGCCGCGGUAUAAUGACCGUGCAAAGGUAGCGUAAUCACUUGUCCCUUAAAUAGUGACCAGUAUGAAUGGCAAGACGAGAGCUCAACUGUCUCCUUAGAUUAGUCAAUGAAAUUGAUCUUUCCGUGCAGAAGCGGAAAUAUAAUUAUAAGACGAGAAGACCCUGUGGAGCUUCAAACUUAGACUAAUUACAUUAAAUGAUAAAUUAGCAUAUAGCUUUAGGUUGGGGCGACCACGGGGUAUAACAAAACCCCCGAAAUGAAAUUUAAGAAAAACAUUUCAAGACAACAAUAUAAUUGACAUAAUUGACCCAACAAUUGAUCAACGAACCAAGUUACCCCAGGGAUAACAGCGCAAUCCUUUCACAGAGUCCUUAUCGACGAAUGGGUUUACGACCUCGAUGUUGGAUCAGGACCCCCUCAUGGUGUAACAGCUAUUUUAGGUUCGUUUGUUCAACGAUUAAAGUCCUACGUGAUCUGAGUUCAGACCGGAGCAAUCCAGGUCAGUUUCUAUCUAUAAACAACUCUCCCUAGUACGAAAGGACCGGGAGAAUAAGGCCAAUAAAAAAUUUAAGCCUUCUCAUUCACCUCUGAAAUCAAAUAAAGAGGGGGUAAAAAACAAAUAAAUCAAAUGA
RNAcentral lists this ribosomal RNA (1440 nucleotides) under Aneides ferreus. RNAcentral describes it as "partial 16S ribosomal RNA". It matches the Rfam family "Bacterial large subunit ribosomal RNA", at positions 448 to 2821 of the family's 2925-position model. The record is from RNAcentral. Lineage: Eukaryota; Metazoa; Chordata; Amphibia; Caudata; Plethodontidae.